UCAUUCAUCCUCAUCUUUGGUGGGUGUGAAUGGAAGAAAAAAAAAAGAUGGGGAAUAGCUAGGGUUUGUUUGUGGAAGUAAGGAAGUGCAUGUGAUGAUAUGCAUGGAAAGCUGAGUCGCAGUAAAGGAUGAAGCAAAAAUGAUGUUAGAAAGUAAUAAAAAAAGAGGGAACAGGUGCAAUAAUUUAUUAGUGGUGAAGCUAAGCAAACACUGUGUGUGUCUCUGCAAACUUUUUAUAAUAAACGAAAGGAGGGCAAUGCUUCUCUCCCUGUAGCCUUCCACCAUUCUGCACUCUGCAACUUUUUUUCAUCUCGUGUUCUGUGAACUCAAACGCAAAACGCCAUUUUCACCUUCUGCUUUUCUUCACACACACCGUCU
This 378-nucleotide long non-coding RNA is filed under the name Vigna radiata. RNAcentral describes it as "long non-coding RNA (VRAD_LNC017986)". Lineage: Eukaryota; Viridiplantae; Streptophyta; Magnoliopsida; Fabales; Fabaceae. The record is from RNAcentral.